CCUACGGGGGGCUGCAGUGGGGAAUUUUCCGCAAUGGGCGCAAGCCUGACGGAGCAAUACCGCGUGAGGGAGGACGGCUUUUGGGUUGUAAACCUCUUUUCUCAAGGAAGAUGAUGACGGUACUUGAGGAAUCAGCAUCGGCUAACUCCGUGCCAGCAGCCGCGGUAAUACGGGGGAUGCAAGCGUUAUCCGGAAUUAUUGGGCGUAAAGCGUUCGUAGGUGGUUGAACAAGUCUGCUGUUAAAGCGUGGAGCUAAACUCCAUAUAGGCGGUGGA
This 275-nucleotide ribosomal RNA is filed under the name uncultured bacterium. RNAcentral describes it as "partial 16S ribosomal RNA". It matches the Rfam family "Bacterial small subunit ribosomal RNA", at positions 338 to 630 of the family's 1533-position model. The record is from RNAcentral.